This 274-nucleotide ribosomal RNA is filed under the name uncultured bacterium. RNAcentral describes it as "partial 16S ribosomal RNA". It matches the Rfam family "Bacterial small subunit ribosomal RNA", at positions 523 to 796 of the family's 1533-position model. The record is from RNAcentral.
CUACGGAGGGUGCAAGCGUUACUCGGAAUCACUGGGCGUAAAGCGCGCGCAGGCGGCUAUUUAAGUUGGAUGUGAAAGCCUACGGCUCAACCGUAGAACUGCAUCCAAAACUAUUUAGUUAGAGUGUGGGAGAGGAAGAUGGAAUUAGUUGUGUAGGGGUAAAAUCCGUAGAGAUAACUAGGAAUACCAAAAGCGAAGGCAAUCUUCUGGAACACUACUGACGCUGAGGCGCGAAAGCGUGGGGAGCAAACAGGAUUAGAAACCCUAGUAGUCC